Molecule: ribosomal RNA, 395 nt
Filed under: uncultured Lachnospiraceae bacterium
Lineage: Bacteria; Bacillati; Bacillota; Clostridia; Lachnospirales; Lachnospiraceae
Description: partial 16S ribosomal RNA
Source: RNAcentral
CACGUAGUUAGCCGGGGCUUCUUAGUCAGGUACCGUCAUUUCUUCCCUGCUGAUAGAAGUUUACAUACCGAAAUACUUCUUCCUUCACGCGGCGUCGCUGCAUCAGGGUUUCCCCCAUUGUGCAAUAUUCCCCACUGCUGUCUCCCGUAGGAGUUUGGGCCGUGUCUCAGUCCCAAUGUGGCCGGUCACCCUCUCAGGCCGGCUACUGAUCGUCGCCUUGGUGAGCCCUUACCCACAACUGCUAAUCAGACGCGGGUCCAUCUCAUACCACCGGAGUUUUCACACUGGACCAUGCAGUCCCGUGCGCUUAUGCGGUAUUAGCAGUCAUUUCAACUGUAUCCCCUGUAAUGAGCAGGUUACCACGCGUUACUCACCCGUCCGCCACUCACGUCAAA